Molecule: ribosomal RNA, 1851 nt
Filed under: Triticum aestivum (bread wheat)
Lineage: Eukaryota; Viridiplantae; Streptophyta; Magnoliopsida; Poales; Poaceae
Description: partial small subunit ribosomal RNA
Source: RNAcentral
AUGGCGAUCAGAGCAACCAUUCCUCUCCUCUUCCUCCUGGGAACCAGCCUUCUCUUUGCCGCGGCUGUUUCGGCCUCCCGUGACGACGAGGAGGACAGGCGCGGUGGGCACUCGCUGCAGCAGUGCGUGCAGCGGUGCCAGCAGGACCGGCCACGGUACUCGCAUGCUCGGUGCGUGCAGGAGUGCAGGGAGGACCAGCAGCAGCACGGGAGGCACGAGCAGGAGGAGCAAGGCCGUGGCCAUGGCCGGCACGGCGAAGGGGGGCGUGAGGAGGAGCAGGGCCGUGGCCGUGGCAGGCACGGCCAGGGGGAGCGUGAGGAGGAGGAGGGCCGUGGCCGUGGGCGGCACGGCGAGGGAGAGCGUGAGGAGGAGGAGGGCCGUGGCCGUGGGCGGCACGGCGAGGGGGAGCGUGAGGAGCACGGAAAGCACGAGCAGGGCCGUGGCCGGCGCGGCGAGGGAGAGCGUGAUGAGGAGCACGGGGAUAGCCGCCGGCCGUACGUGUUCGGCCCGCGCAACUUUCGUAGCAUCAUCCGGAGCGACCACGGGUUCGUGAAGGCCCUUCGCCCGUUCGACGAAGUGUCCAGGCUCCUCCGAGGCAUCAGGAACUACCGCGUCGCCAUCAUGGAGGUGAACCCGCGCUCGUUCGUCGUGCCGGGACUCACGGACGCGGACGGCGUCGGCUACGUCGCUCAAGGCGAGGGGGUGCUGACGGUGAUCGAGAACGGCGAGAGGCGGUCCUACUCCGUCAGGCAAGGCGAUGUCAUCGUGGCGCCGGCGGGGUCCAUCAUGCACCUGGCCAACACCGACGGCCGGAGGAAGCUGGUCAUCGCCAAGAUCCUCCACACCAUCUCCGUGCCCGGCAAGUUCCAGUAUUUCUCGGCCAAGCCUCUUCUCGCGAGUUUGAGCAAACGCGUGCUGAGAGCGGCUCUCAAGACCUCGGAUGAGCAGCUGGACAGGCUGCUGUUCGGCAGGCGCCAAGGCCAGGAGGAGGAGCCCAUCUCCAUCGUCCGCGCGUCCGAGGAGCAGCUCCGCGAGCUGCGUCGCGAGGCGUCCGAGGGCGGGCAGGGCCACCACUGGCCUCUCCCCCCGUUCCGCGGCGACUCGCGCGACACCUUUAACCUCCUGGAGCAGCGCCCCAAGAUCGCCAACCGCCAUGGCCGCCUCUUCGAGGCCGACGCCCGGAGCUUCCACGCCCUUGCCCAACACGACGUCCGUGUCGCCGUGGCCAACAUCACACCGGGAUCUAUGACCGCGCCUUACUUGAACACCCAGUCGUUCAAGCUCGCCGUCGUGCUGGAAGGCGAGGGCGAGGUGCAGAUCGUGUGCCCGCACCUUGGCCAGGACAGCGAGCGCGAGCACGAGCACGGCAAGGGCAGGCGGAGCGAGGAAGAAGAGGACGACCAGCGGCAGCAACGCCGACGCGGCUCCGGCUCCGAGUCGGAGGAGGAGCAGGAUCAGCAGAGGUACGAGACGGUCCGCGCGCGGGUGUCGCGCGGCUCGGCGUUCGUGGUGCCCCCCGGCCACCCGGUCGUGGAGAUCGCCUCGUCCCGCGGCAGCAGCAACCUCCAGGUGGUGUGCUUCGAGAUCAACGCCGAGAGGAACGAGAGGGUGUGGCUCGCCGGGAGGAACAACGUGAUCGGCAAGCUGGACAACCCCGCGCAGGAGCUCACGUUCGGCAGGCCCGCCAGGGAGGUGCAGGAGGUGUUCCGCGCCAAGGAUCAGCAGGACGAGGGCUUCGUCGCCGGACCCGAGCAGCAGGAGCAGGAGCGCGGGGACCGCCGCCGUGGUGACCGCGGCCGCGGCGACGAAGCCGUGGAGGCCUUCCUGAGAAUGGCAACCGCCGCGCUCUGA